GGGCGGAUGGUCUAGCUGGUAUGACGUUGCCCUUACAAGGCAAAGGUCGGGAGUUCGAAUCUCCCUCGGCCCA
RNAcentral lists this transfer RNA (73 nucleotides) under Candidatus Aenigmarchaeota archaeon ex4484_52. RNAcentral describes it as "tRNA-Val". It matches the Rfam family "tRNA". Rfam says of the family: Transfer RNA (tRNA) molecules are approximately 80 nucleotides in length. Their secondary structure includes four short double-helical elements and three loops (D, anti-codon, and T loops). RNAcentral also lists the same sequence under 1 other name. The record is from RNAcentral. Lineage: Archaea; Nanobdellati; Candidatus Aenigmatarchaeota.